AACAAACGCUGGCGGCGUGCCUAACACAUGCAAGUCGUACGAGAAAGGGUCCUUCGGGAUCUGAGUAAAGUGGCGCACGGGUGAGUAACGCGUGGAUAAUCUGCCCUUCAGUUGGGAACAACUCAUCGAAAGGUGGGCUAAUACCGAAUAACACUGUGAGACUUUGGUCGAGCAGUCAAAGAGAGCCUCUGCUUGCAAGCCCUCGCUGAAGGAUGAGCCCGCGUACCAUUAGCUUGUUGGCAGGGUAAUGGCCUACCAAGGCGACGAUGGUUAGCUGGUCUGAGAGGAUGAUCAGCCACACUGGAACUGAGAUACGGUCCAGACUCCUACGGGAGGCAGCAGUGAGGAAGCUUGCGCAAUGGGGGAAACCCUGACGCAGCAACGCCGCGUGAGUGAGGAAGGUCUUCGGAUCGUAAAGCUCUGUCAGUUGGGAAGAAAUGCCUGAUGGUUAAUACCCAUCAGGCUUGACGGUACCAACAGAGGAAGCACCGGCUAACUCCGUGCCAGCCGCCGCCGUAA
This 519-nucleotide ribosomal RNA is filed under the name uncultured bacterium. RNAcentral describes it as "partial 16S ribosomal RNA". It matches the Rfam family "Bacterial small subunit ribosomal RNA", at positions 29 to 523 of the family's 1533-position model. The record is from RNAcentral.